AUGAACCGUAUGCAUCAAAAGGUGCAUGUACGGUUCACUUCGUAAU
This 46-nucleotide small RNA is filed under the name Salix viminalis (osier). Lineage: Eukaryota; Viridiplantae; Streptophyta; Magnoliopsida; Malpighiales; Salicaceae. The record is from RNAcentral.